AUGAACGCUGGCGGCGUGCCUAAUACCUGCAAGUCGAGCGCACAGACGAGGAGCUUGCUCCUCUGACGUUAGCGGCGGACGGGUGAGUAACACGUGGAUAACCUACCUAUAAGACUGGGAUAACUUCGGGAAACCGGAGCUAAUACCGGAUAAUAUAUUGAACCGCAUGGUUCAAUAGUGAAAGACGGUUUUGCUGUCACUUAUAGAUGGAUCCGCGCCGCAUUAGCUAGUUGGUAAGGUAACGGCUUACCAAGGCAACGAUGCGUAGCCGACCUGAGAGGGUGAUCGGCCACACUGGAACUGAGACACGGUCCAGACUCCUACGGGAGGCAGCAGUAGGGAAUCUUCCGCAAUGGGCGAAAGCCUGACGGAGCAACGCCGCGUGAGUGAUGAAGGUCUUCGGAUCGUAAAACUGUUAUUAGGGAAGAACAAAUGUGUAAGUAACUAUGCACGUCUUGACGGUACCUAAUCAGAAAGCCACGGCUAACUACGUG
Molecule: ribosomal RNA, 494 nt
Filed under: uncultured bacterium
Lineage: Bacteria
Description: partial 16S ribosomal RNA
Rfam family: Bacterial small subunit ribosomal RNA
Source: RNAcentral